GACGAACGCUGGCGGCGUGCUUAACACAUGCAAGUCGAACGGACAGGCCCUGCUUUUGCGGCGUGCUCGAGUGGCGAACGGGUGUGUAACACGUGAGUAACCUGCCCUUGUCAUUGGGAUAUCUUUACGAAACUGGGGCUAAUAUCGGAUAGGAGCUCCUGCUGCAUGGGGGGGGUUGGUAAGUGUCGGCGGUGGGGGAUCGUCUAGCGGCUUCUCCGCCGGUUUGGGGAGUAGUUGCUUUCCAAGGCUGUGAGGGGUAGGCGGCCUGGGAGGGUGACCGGCGACAAUGGGACUGAGAUACGGCCCAGACGCCUACGGGACGCAGCAGUGGGGAAUAUUGCACAAUGGGCGGAAGCCUGAUGCAGCGGCGCCGCGUGCGGGAUGACGUCCUACGGGUUGUAAACCGCUUUCGCCUGUGACGAAGCGUGAGUGACGGUAAUGGGUAAAGAAGCACCGGCUAACUACGUG
Molecule: ribosomal RNA, 468 nt
Filed under: uncultured bacterium
Lineage: Bacteria
Description: partial 16S ribosomal RNA
Rfam family: Bacterial small subunit ribosomal RNA
Source: RNAcentral